CGAACGGUGAUCUUGAGAGCUUGCUCUUGGGUGAUCAGUGGCGAACGGGUGAGUAACACGUGAGUAACCUGCCCCUGACUCUGGAAUGACUUCGGGAAACCGAAGCUAAUACCGGAUAUGACACAGAGCCGCAUGGUUUCUGUGUGGAAAGUUUUUCGGUUGGGGAUGGACUCGCGGCCUAUCAGCUUGUUGGUGAGGUAAUGGCUCACCAAGGCGACGACGGGUAGCCGGCCUGAGAGGGCGACCGGCCACACUGGGACUGAGACACGGCCCAGACUCCUACGGGAGGCAGCAGUGGGGAAUAUUGCACAAUGGGCGAAAGCCUGAUGCAGCGACGCCGCGUGAGUGAUGAAGGCCCUAGGGUUGUAAAGCUCUUUCACC
RNAcentral lists this ribosomal RNA (381 nucleotides) under Ornithinibacter sp. enrichment culture clone SJC5. Its description in RNAcentral is "bacterial SSU rRNA". It matches the Rfam family "Bacterial small subunit ribosomal RNA", at positions 63 to 440 of the family's 1533-position model. The record is from RNAcentral. Lineage: Bacteria; Bacillati; Actinomycetota; Actinomycetes; Micrococcales; Intrasporangiaceae.